RNAcentral lists this ribosomal RNA (299 nucleotides) under uncultured Veillonellaceae bacterium. RNAcentral describes it as "partial 16S ribosomal RNA". The record is from RNAcentral. Lineage: Bacteria; Bacillati; Bacillota; Negativicutes; Veillonellales; Veillonellaceae.
GGAGUCUGGACCGUGUCUCAGUUCCAAUGUGACCGUUCAUCCUCUCAGACCGGUUACCGAUCGUCGGCUUGGUAGGCCGUUACCUUACCAACUACCUAAUCGGACGCAAACCCCUCUCAAAGCGAGAAAUCUUUAAUACAAUCACCAUGCGAUGACCGUACAACAUUCGGUAUUAGCAGUCCUUUCGAACUGUUGUCCCCAUCUUUGCGGCAGAUUACCUACGCGUUACUCACCCGUUUGCCACUGAACCCGAAGGUUCCGUUCGACUUGCAUGUGUUAAGCACGCCGCCAGCGUUGUC